Molecule: long non-coding RNA, 599 nt
Filed under: Setaria viridis
Lineage: Eukaryota; Viridiplantae; Streptophyta; Magnoliopsida; Poales; Poaceae
Description: long non-coding RNA (SVIR_LNC007174)
Source: RNAcentral
UUGUCACACACAAUUGUGUAACGGCGCUUCGCAUAUGAAUGCAACACUUUGUACGGUCUCUUCCGUAUCACCGCAAAAGCUUGCAACCAUCUCUUCAAUGCGGGAAGGUCCUUAAAUACCCUUCCCUCCUCAAUAACCAUACUAGGACUAGCUUCAGGAGCUUCUAGGAGCUCAUCAUCACGUCCUUCUGCAAACGCCUGAUCGGAAAGAGUAAGAUUGCUAAACUCGUGAACUAUCAGAUCACGACGUCCAGGGAAGAUACGCCUGAACAUCUCAAUAUCACUCUCUGUCAUCUCUCCAACAGGACGAUCAUCAUCAGAAUCAAGAUCCACUCCCAUCUCGUAUGCAUCUUCAUCAUUCAAAAUUUCAACACUAUUAGAGCCACGCAAUCCAUCUCCACAUUGCACUUGCGCAUCAACUAGAGGCACAUCCACAUUUUCUGGAAUAUCUCCUGCGCCAUCAAGUACAAAUAUGAGUAAAGAAUAACUUGAUGGAACGAAUGGAUUAUCUCUCAACAAUAGAAACCGGUAAGACACUUACUCGGAUCAUUCUGAGUGAAAAAAAACUCAUUAGGAGAGUCCACCACAUCAUCAACAAUC